CCUACGGGAGGCAGCAGUAGGGAAUCUUGCGCAAUGGGCGAAAGCCUGACGCAGCAACGCCGCGUGAACGAGACGCCCUUCGGGGUGUAAAGUUCUGUCAGUGGGGACGAAAGAUGACGGUACCCACAGAGGAAGCACCGGCUAACUCCGUGCCAGCAGCCGCGGUCAUACGGAGGGUGCAAGCGAUGUCCGGAAUCAUUGUGCGUAAAGAGUUCGUAGGCGGUAUUUUAAGUCUGGUGUUAAAUGCAGAAGCUCAACUUCUGUUCGGCACUUGAUACUGGCAAACGAGAGUGAGGUAGAGGGAAAGGGAAUUCCUGGUGUAGCGGUGAAAUGCGUAGAUAUCAGGAGGAACAUCGGUGGCGAAGGCGCUUUACUGGGCCGUAAUUGACGCUGAGGAACGAAGGCCAGGGUAGCAAAUGGGAUUAGAUACCCGAGUAGUC
RNAcentral lists this ribosomal RNA (440 nucleotides) under uncultured bacterium. RNAcentral describes it as "partial 16S ribosomal RNA". It matches the Rfam family "Bacterial small subunit ribosomal RNA", at positions 338 to 795 of the family's 1533-position model. The record is from RNAcentral.